UUGUAUAUCCGAAAUGCCACGUCUAUCUCGGCUGUCUGCCUCGCAGCGAGCUCUCAAUCGCCGCUUAAGAAAUAGAAAAUGAGAAUAAUGCAAGUUCUCAGAGAGAGCGCAGAGAAGAUUCGGAGAU
Molecule: long non-coding RNA, 127 nt
Organism: Drosophila innubila
Lineage: Eukaryota; Metazoa; Arthropoda; Insecta; Diptera; Drosophilidae
Exons: 2
Source: RefSeq, a predicted model, not a curated record